This 364-nucleotide RNase P RNA is filed under the name Ectothiorhodospiraceae bacterium. RNAcentral's name for it is "RNase P RNA component class A". It matches the Rfam family "Bacterial RNase P class A". From Rfam's summary of the family: Ribonuclease P (RNase P) is a ubiquitous endoribonuclease, found in archaea, bacteria and eukarya as well as chloroplasts and mitochondria. The record is from RNAcentral. Lineage: Bacteria; Pseudomonadati; Pseudomonadota; Gammaproteobacteria; Chromatiales; Ectothiorhodospiraceae.
AGAGUCGACCGGGCAGCCGCCGGCCGGCCACCCUCGCGGUGGUCUGCGGGAGGAAAGUCCGGGCUCCACAGGGCAGGGUGCCAGGUAACGCCUGGGGGGCGUGAGCCCACGGAAAGUGCCACAGAAAAUAUACCGCCACCCCGGCCGAGCGCCGGUGCGGUAAGGGUGAAAUGGUGCGGUAAGAGCGCACCGCGCCGCUGGUAACAGCGGUGGCAGGGCAAACCCCACCCGGAGCAAGACCGAAUAGGGGGGCAAUGGCGUUGCCCGCGUCGCCCCCGGGUAGGUCGCUAGAGGCGUACGGUGACGUGCGCCGUAGAUGAAUGGCUGUCCUCGACAGAACCCGGCUUACAGGUCGACUCUCGCA